This 428-nucleotide ribosomal RNA is filed under the name uncultured bacterium. RNAcentral describes it as "bacterial SSU rRNA". It matches the Rfam family "Bacterial small subunit ribosomal RNA", at positions 8 to 436 of the family's 1533-position model. The record is from RNAcentral.
AGAGUUUGAUCCUGGCUCAGAUUGAACGCUGGCGGCGUGCCUAACACAUGCAAGUCGAGCGGUAACAGGUGUAGCAAUACAUGCUGACGAGCGGCGAACGGGUGAGUAAUGCUUUGGAAUCUUCCCAGUAGUGGGGAAUAACCAGUCGAAAGAUUGGCUAAUACCGCAUACGUCUGUAAAGGGAAAGCGGGGGCUCGUAAGACCUCGCGCUAUUGGAUGAGCCAAAGUCGGAUUAGCUAGUUGGUGGGGUAAUGGCCUACCAAGGCGACAAUCCGUAGCUGGUCUGAGAGGACGACCAGCCACACCGGAACUGAGACACGGUCCGGACUCCUACGGGAGGCAGCAGUGGGGAAUAUUGGACAAUGGGGGAAACCCUGAUCCAGCGACGCCGCGUGUGUGAAGAAGGCCUGCGGGUUGUAAAGCACUUU